This 834-nucleotide long non-coding RNA is filed under the name Pan troglodytes (chimpanzee). RNAcentral describes it as "long non-coding RNA NONPTRT009806". Lineage: Eukaryota; Metazoa; Chordata; Mammalia; Primates; Hominidae. The record is from RNAcentral.
GGGGUAGAAUUCAAUGCCAUUUACUUCAAGCUCCUUGCGAACCUAGAGGCGAGGAGAAGAAACAAGGUAGUCAAGUGUCAGGGUAAUGGAAAAGAGGGGUGUGUGCACCUGUGUGCGUGAGCUGAGGUCAGAGAGCCAAAUCCAGCCUUGGAUAAUCCACAGUCAUCUCUGAACUCUGAGACCCUGAGCAGCAGGAAGAUGGUGAAUAAAUGCAAGCCCCAGCUAUACAAUUACAACCUAGCCUGAGAGGAGGAAGACGCCAGGAGGUGCAACUUCAGGUCCCAGGCGCCUCGCAACCAGCUUGCUCAUCUCAGGGUCCGCGAGACUGGGAUUUACACAAGCAGCACAGACUUCUCCUCCAGGGUCAUGGUGUCAGCCUUAGCAAUGACAGGGAUGAUGUUCACAACCUUGCUGAGGUGUUUCAUGAACUCAAGAUCCAGAGGUCGCAAGCUGGGGCACAGAAAAGGCAGAAUCAUCAGAGCCACCUUGCCCUCCCCAACUCGGCCACCACCACCACUCCAGGACACCCACAGGAGAAGAGGACUGGGCUGGGCAUCUGGCUGAGGCCAAGAGGCUGCUACCUCUCGUCUCCGACACAGCCCCACUGCCUUGCCGUCUGUAGAGCAGCCUCAACACCUGCCUUUUUCUUUUUCAGUCCCCAUGCAGAUCCUGCCUCUCUUUAAGCCCCCCUCAAACCACCACUUCAGAACAUCUUUUCUGACUCAGGGAUUUCUUUCUCCUGGGAGCAUCUGUGGACUAUUGUCUCUACUCAUAUGUCCUUGUGCAUGUGUGUCUUUUUUCUUUUUUUGUCUGUCUCAAAAACAAAAAACAAAC